Molecule: ribosomal RNA, 551 nt
Filed under: Bifidobacterium animalis subsp. lactis
Lineage: Bacteria; Bacillati; Actinomycetota; Actinomycetes; Bifidobacteriales; Bifidobacteriaceae
Description: bacterial SSU rRNA
Rfam family: Bacterial small subunit ribosomal RNA
Source: RNAcentral
GGGUGGUAAUACCGGAUGCUCCGCUCCAUCGCAUGGUGGGGUGGGAAAUGCUUUUGCGGCAUGGGAUGGGGUCGCGUCCUAUCAGCUUGUUGGCGGGGUGAUGGCCCACCAAGGCGUUGACGGGUAGCCGGCCUGAGAGGGUGACCGGCCACAUUGGGACUGAGAUACGGCCCAGACUCCUACGGGAGGCAGCAGUGGGGAAUAUUGCACAAUGGGCGCAAGCCUGAUGCAGCGACGCCGCGUGCGGGAUGGAGGCCUUCGGGUUGUAAACCGCUUUUGUUCAAGGGCAAGGCACGGUUUCGGCCGUGUUGAGUGGAUUGUUCGAAUAAGCACCGGCUAACUACGUGCCAGCAGCCGCGGUAAUACGUAGGGUGCGAGCGUUAUCCGGAUUUAUUGGGCGUAAAGGGCUCGUAGGCGGUUCGUCGCGUCCGGUGUGAAAGUCCAUCGCCUAACGGUGGAUCUGCGCCGGGUACGGGCGGGCUGGAGUGCGGUAGGGGAGACUGGAAUUCCCGGUGUAACGGUGGAAUGUGUAGAUAUCGGGAAAGAACACC